This is a long non-coding RNA of Felis catus (domestic cat), 1598 nucleotides long. RefSeq lists it as uncharacterized. NCBI's taxonomy places the organism in Eukaryota, Metazoa, Chordata, Mammalia, Carnivora, Felidae. The record is from RefSeq and is a predicted model, not a curated record. The transcript has 3 exons.
CCCGCCAAAUCAGGCCCCACCAAAGAGUCCCCUCUCCCGGACCCCCACUUUCGAUCGGUCGUGCGCGAGAGUAGGAAUAAUGCCUGUGUUUUCUGCUUUUGCUUUGGCCAGGAGUCUCCGGAGGACGGGGUCCUCCAGGCGCGCCGAAGACGACUACCGAGCCCAGGCGUGAAUCAGAGACCGAGAAAGAAAAAGGGUCGCAUGAGGAUUGAGCCAGACCCGGUGCUCGGCCCUAGCUCAGUCAGUUGUCAUGAUUUUAUAGUCCCUCUUGAGGGGGGACGGAAACUCCUUCGUUGGGGGUCAGCUAAGUCAAAAAGCCGUGAGUUCAGUUCGCUGCCCGAGGUGACAAGAAACUUGCUUGGAUGAAGUCAUGUGAGCUGAACCGAUUGGCCCGAAUCCUCAAAGAGGGGAGUGUCAGGGCGCGCGGCUCCCUCGGAGAGGCUGAGCUAACGCUGGCACCUUCCCGAGAGUCCCCGGACGCCUGGCUUCUGAGUCUCUGUGGAAAGCACUUCUAGCUGGGCGUUGGCGCGCCUGACGAACUGUGCAGUCACUGAGCAGUUGUGGCGAUUGGAAAAUCAGUUUCACGCCCCAGGAAUGUCUCCGAGAGCCGUCCCCGCCCCGCUUCCCAGACCCAGCCAAAAAAAAAAAAAAAAAAAAAAAAAAAAAAAAAAAAAAAUCCAAAGCAAAACCAACUGAGAAAUGGAGCUAGAAAUUGAUGAGGGAUUCCUAGCACCUCAGAAUGUUGACUUGGUAACUUUAUUUUUAAGUCUUUAACAAAUUGCGUUUAUGUCACGUAGAAAUUUUAAGCAGCUUCCGGGGGUUUUGUGUCCCACUUGGAACCAACUUCAGAGCAGCUUGCGCAUAAAUUGGAAUUAUGUGAAUCGUACCUCCGGUUAGAGCACUUAACACACGUAGCGUGUAAACAAAUAUUUCCAACUUGUUGGCGACGGGAUCACUAUGCAAGGCGGGCUUACAAAAAUCCAUGGCGAAUGAAAUCUCACUUCUGAAAGUGAAAAACGCAAAUUCAAGUAGCGUCCGGAUACCUUGCGCCCAUUCUGACGGGGACUGAAGGCUAAAUUAAUAUAGUCUUCCUAAAGGAACUAUUUGAAAGGAUGUUACAAAAGUAGGAACACCUUUGGACCCAGCAAUUCUACUUUUUGGAAUUUAUCCUAAAGACAGUCUUGAAGAACACGAACAACGGUGUUCGCGGCAACGUGGCUUCUAAUAUCAAAGCGUCGUUCACCACUAAAAUGCCCAAUAUAAAUUACAUCACCUCCUGGUGCUUCAAUUUUAUUUUCUCAUCUGUGAGAAUCAGGAACAAUCAUAGGGUUGUGAGGAUGGAAUGGAUGAAUACAAACCAAACCCUUAGGUGCCUAGCAUGUAGUAAGCACUAAAUAAAUGUUUGUUUUGUCCUGCCUCCAUGUUCAUGGUGAGCCCUCAGCCUGCAAUAUCCUCUUGCAAUUUGUCGGAAUCACCCUCACUUUUCCAGUAUUCAAUGGUGGUUUCUUGCACAAAGCCUUUUUGGAUCUCCUAAACAAGAGAGAGAGAGCACGAACAGGGGAGUGGCGACAGAGAGGAAGACAGAAUCCAAAGCAGGC